Molecule: long non-coding RNA, 351 nt
Filed under: Setaria viridis
Lineage: Eukaryota; Viridiplantae; Streptophyta; Magnoliopsida; Poales; Poaceae
Description: long non-coding RNA (SVIR_LNC006879)
Source: RNAcentral
CUGGAACUACUAAUCAGUCUUCGUACCACACGACUCCUUUCCAGUCUUGUCAAAAGUGUUUAUAUCCUUCAUCCUUCUAUGCAAUCUUCUUCUUAAUGAGCUUUAUUUCUUUAUCUUUUAACUGUGCCAAAAUGAUUUGAUCGUCUAGUGUAGGCUCGAUGGAUAUGUGACUCAACAUGCCGUGAGGAAAAAUUUCUAAAUUGAGCUUCCUCAUCUCAUGACAUGAGGCUUCUGUGAAAUUAUCUAUGGGGAGAUAGCUGCAAUGAGCCUUGCGGCUAGGAGCAUCAACAACUACAUUGGCCUUUCCUGGAUGAUAAUGCACCUCUAAAUCAUAAUCUUUUAUCAACUCCA